Molecule: ribosomal RNA, 439 nt
Filed under: uncultured bacterium
Lineage: Bacteria
Description: partial 16S ribosomal RNA
Rfam family: Bacterial small subunit ribosomal RNA
Source: RNAcentral
CUACGGGCUGCUCCAGUGGGGAAUCUUGGACAAUGGGCGCAAGCCUGAUCCAGCCAUGCCGCGUGAGUGAUGAAGGCCUUAGGGUCGUAAAGCUCUUUCGCCAGGGAUGAUAAUGACAGUACCUGGUAAAGAAACCCCGGCUAACUCCGUGCCAGCAGCCGCGGUAAUACGGAGGGGGUUAGCGUUGUUCGGAAUUACUGGGCGUAAAGCGCGCGUAGGCGGACCAGAAAGUUGGGGGUGAAAUCCCGGGGCUCAACCCCGGAACGGCCUUCAAAACUCCUGGUCUUGAGUUCGCGAGAGGUGAGUGGAAUUCCGAGUGUAGAGGUGAAAUUCGUAGAUAUUCGGAGGAACACCAGUGGCGAAGGCGACUCACUGGCUCGAUACUGACGCUGAGGUGCGAAAGUGUGGGGAGCAAACAGGAUUAGAUACCCGUGUAGUC